UCUACGGGUGGCAGCAGGCGCGAAACCUCUACAAUGCACGAAAGUGUGAUAGGGGAAUCCCGAGUGCUCAAGCACUGCUUGGGCUUUUGCCAUAUGUAAAUAGUAUGGCGAAUAAGUGGUGGGCAAGACUGGUGCCAGCCGCCGCGGUAACACCAGCGCCACAAGUGGCAAUCGCGUUUAUUGGGCCUAAAGCGUCCGUAGCAGGUUCUGUAAAUUUCUUGUGAAACUGCCAGGCUUAACUUGGCAAUGUGCAGGAAACACUGCAAGACUUGAGACCGGGAAGGGUCAGAGGUAUUCCUGGGGAGCGGUAAAAUGCUAUAAUCUCAGGAGGACCACCGGUGGCGAAGGCGUCUGACUAGAACGGAUCUGACUGUGAGGGACGAAAGCUAGGGGAGCAAACCGGAUUAGAUACCCUAGUANUC
RNAcentral lists this ribosomal RNA (422 nucleotides) under uncultured bacterium. Its description in RNAcentral is "bacterial SSU rRNA". It matches the Rfam family "Archaeal small subunit ribosomal RNA", at positions 322 to 746 of the family's 1478-position model. The record is from RNAcentral.